GCGGCGGCAGUGCACACGUGAAUAUAGGCGAGUGCAACCCUCAAUAAGAGGCGUCAGACAGUUGCAGAGGAGUACAAACGUCUUUGCCGAGCGGGUGCUGCUGUCGGCGGUGCAUGCCCGCCUUGCUGCA
Molecule: transfer RNA, 130 nt
Filed under: Pyrenophora tritici-repentis
Lineage: Eukaryota; Fungi; Ascomycota; Dothideomycetes; Pleosporales; Pleosporaceae
Description: tRNA-Cys
Source: RNAcentral